AGCAGCCGCGGUAAUUCCAGCUCCAAUAGCGUAUAUUAAAGUUGUUGCAGUUAAAAAGCUCGUAGUUGAAUUUCGGGGUUAGUAGGUUGGUCAUGCCUCUGGUAUGUACUAGUCUCACUGAUUCCUCCUUCCUUAUGAACCGUAAUGCCAUUAAUUUGGUGUUGCGGGAAAUUUGGACUGUUACUUUGAAAAAUUAGAGUGUUUAAAGCAAGCUAACGCUUGAAUACAUUAGCAUGGAAUAAUGAAAUAGGACGUUCGAUCUUAUUUUGUUGGUUUCUAGGAUUGACGUAAUGAUUAAUAGGGAUAGUUGGGGGCAUUAGUAUUCAAUUGUCAGAGGUGAAAUUCUUGGAUUUAUUGAAGACUAACUACUGCGAAAGCAUUUGCCAAGGAUGUUUUCAUUAAUCAAGAACGAAAGUUAGGGGAUCGAAGACGAUCAGAUACCGUCGUAGUCUUAACCAUAAACUAUGCCGACUAGGGAUCGGAUGAUGUUAAUUUUUAAUGACUCAUUCGGCGCCUUACG
RNAcentral lists this ribosomal RNA (520 nucleotides) under uncultured Glomus. Its description in RNAcentral is "SSU rRNA". It matches the Rfam family "Eukaryotic small subunit ribosomal RNA", at positions 569 to 1092 of the family's 1831-position model. Lineage: Eukaryota; Fungi; Glomeromycota; Glomeromycetes; Glomerales; Glomeraceae. The record is from RNAcentral.